Molecule: long non-coding RNA, 4132 nt
Filed under: Gallus gallus (chicken)
Lineage: Eukaryota; Metazoa; Chordata; Aves; Galliformes; Phasianidae
Source: RNAcentral
CGGGUGAGGGCUGCGCGUUGUGGGCAGCGGGUUGGGGGGCACGGCGGGGUUCGCGGGGAUCAGCUUGGGGCUGGGGGUGCCAGCGGGCAGGGGUCACCGACGUGGCAGACACCGGGACCACGGGACUCGGGGACCAGGGGGAGACAACGGGCCCGGGGGUGCGGAGGAGCUGGUGGCACCCGGGGAGCGCUGGGAGGAGCUGCGGAGGGACGCUCCGGGACCGGCGGCAGCAAAGGGACAGCGUGGCACCCGGCAGCAGCGGGGCCACCGGCAGGGACGACACAGCAGUGGGUUUGGGGCCGAACCCCUAUCGAUAUCCCAGUGUCACCCGGCUGUUUCCCCGCACCCCCAUUGCGGGGCUGUGACCCUUCACUCCCCGCUCACCCCAGCACGGCAGCAGCUGGCCUGCACCCCCCGCUCCACUCCCCACCCCCAGAAUAGCACCCCCACAGUGGGGUCACCCCGACACCACCCCAACGCCGUGCUUGCUCACCCUGCACCAGGAUCUCCUCGAAGAGCAUGGCCGUGUCCAGCCCGGCCCCGGCAGCCCCGGCAGCAGCCCCAGCCCUGGCCCUGCACUUUGCACAGGGCGGCCGCACGCCGCCUGCUUGGCAUUUAUCUUGGGGCGCAUGGCAACCCCGGGGCGGCGCUGAGCGGCAUCACACGCUGCACAUGUACAGUGCUCAUCGGUCUGGGUGGGCUUUAUGGCGUACGGAGCGUCUCGACAGAGGGUACAUGGAGAACUGGGGGUCAAAAAGGCGUGGAUGGGCCCCCCUGGGGCACACCAGCAGAGGUGCGCUGGGGACAAGGACGUGCACACACAGACCCCGCUGCACCAGGGCUGUUGGCCUGGCGCUUUGCUCCCACGGUGCUGACGUUGGGUUUUUAGAGCAGCAGCUGCUGUGUGCACGCCAUCCAUGCAGCACAUCCCAAGGAUCAGUUUGUCUGGGGCUAACUUCCUGCACCUGCACAGCUGGGUGUAGGGAGCAGCUGCCAGCAGCCCCUUCCAAUCCCCCCUACCCCCCCCCCCUCCUGGCCCCACAGAGUCCUUUGGCCGUGGCUGUGUGUCGUGGUCACUUCCUGCGCCCUAUGCGUGCCAUCAGCUCAGCGUUAGCAGCCGCCUUGGCUUGCAGCUCCUUCUCCCGGGCCAAGUCCAGCAGGAUCCUCAGGAUGUGUGUGGGGACAUCGAGGGACAGGGACACCUUUCUUGCCGUGCUGCUCUUUUUUACCACAGAAGCUCUGUUGGUGUCGGGGUUUGGCAGCCAGGGCCACGCUUCUCUCACCGACUCCUCCAGCAGCAGCUGCGUGGUUCCAUCCAACUGAGAGCCAGCCCCAGAGCCGUGGCCACGUCUCUCGCCAGGGAGCCCCAGCAUUACCCCGCUGCUGCCCUCCUUGUCCCAGCCAUCUUCAUGCCAGGGGGCACCGGGCACAGCGGGGCCGUGGGGAAGGCUCAGCCCCUGCACCAUGCCCCAUGGCAGCAGCAGGAAGGGCAGCAGCACAGCCUGCAGGAACAGAGCGCGGCACUCAGCAUCACCCCCCCACCUGGUGUCCCCUGUCCCAUUCACACCCAGGGGAUGGGGCGGUGGCAGCGUAGGGAUGGGGUGAUGAUGGCAGCGUGGGGACAACACGGCGUCUCCUCCCGCAGCCACUCCCCGCCCCACAGCUGCCCUUUGGUCGGGAACGUGUGACGUGGGACUGGGACUCACGCCACCACUGCCUCCUUCCAAGCCGCCCCCCUCAGGAGUGCCACCCCUCAGCUCUGUGGGGCAAAAGCUGCCUUCUCGGAUGGAACGAUUUGCCCCAAAUAAGCAGAAGGGUGACAAGAGCAUGAUGCAGCCACCUGCACGGCAUCCUCAGCAUCCUCGUCUGCAGGAGCCUGCGCUGCUCUCGGGGCUGGCUGCAAAAAGCCAGAGGGAAGCAGCGGAAUGCAGCCAGCAUCCUCAUCCUGCAUCCCACCUCCUGGGUGAAACCCUUUGGAAAGCACCAGAGCGGGCAGCCAGAGGCAGCCGGAUGAGUUGCAAACUGGGUGGUGAGUGAUGGCAGAAAGCAUCCAACCCCUGAGACCCGUUUCCCAGGUAAAUCCCCCCCAAAGGACCGCUCAGGGGUGCAGCCUCACCAUUUCCUGCAGUCCUCGUCCCCUGCUGCUCUCACGGUGUAGGGGUGGCAGAUGGGGUUUGCCCUGCUCAGGGCUGAGCCCUGGCUCUUAUCCUGCCCCAGCUCCACCUCCUGCCCCCCCCGACGGCACACAGCAGGGCCACUAUUAACGCAUUUUGCCUCAUCACAGAUGAAAUCACCCAGGGAUGCGGGUGGGCGUUUGCCCCCUCAUAGAGCCGAAUUUGGAGGGGAUUUUGGGAACUCGGCAUAAUCAUCUCACAUUGGACAUCCAACUAACUGCUGCUCCAUAGAACCGAGCCUGCCCAUAGGCUCUGCUGCGGGCUGGAGUGCCUGUGCUCAUGGGGUGGUGGAGAGAGGAAAUAAACGGGGCUCUGUUCUUCCUUCUGGAAACGGACAGGAACUCACUCCCCCCAGCAUGGCAGAGUGGCCAAAAUUAGACCAAGGCACUGAUUCACACUGCACCGCAGCCCCAUGUGCCUGUGGGUCGUGGGCACGUGUGUGUCAGCAAGACACAGGGACAGGGCACGGGGACAGGGGGCACCAGGGCAGGAGGGCAGCCAGCGGGCACUGCAGGCAGGGGGACACAGGCUGCCAGUAGCCAUAGGGCCAGAGACAAGGGAGUCAGGUCGGCUGUGUUGCCCCAGACCCUGUGGCACAUGAAGAGGCACAGCAUCCUUCCAUGAGCACAUCUUUAAUACCGUGUCCCACCCCUGCAUUGGUACACAUAUACAUUCGCUGUAUACAGAUAUACACAGAGCAGCAGUGCGUCUGGGCUGCAGAGGAGCCAGCGUCACCUUCCUGAUGAGCAGGAACCGCCUCUAACAUAGCACCAUCCUCAGGGUCUCCCUGGUGGGUCCCAGUUUCCAGGCAGAGGUGCGAGCCGGAGGGCAGCACAUGGAGAAAGCCUCCAUCCCUCCUGCAGUUCUCUGCCAAACCAUCGCCCCCCAAAAGGGUUACCGGGUCCCAGGUGGGGUGAAGGUGAAAUUCAUUCAAAUGGAGCAGGUUGCACGGAGCCCAAGAGGGAGACGAGGGCAGCCCACAGCCUUGGGGAUUUGAGGCGUUGGGUUUGGGGAAGGGGCCCAACCGUGCCCACUCUCAGCUCUGGGCGGCCAAAGAAGGAACAUGGGGCCAAGAGCUGUCCCUUUGGCAGCAAAUAAGUUAAAAAAUUAAGGCAACACCCCAAGAGAGCUCUGGUUUGGAAAGCAGAUAAAAGGCGUAUGGGGAGGUCGUGUUCCCAUUUGAUAGAAAUUUCACCUUUAACGGGAAAUAGAACCGACAUAAAGGGAAAGACCCAUGAGCAACAAGAAGAGACGUCAGAAAUAGCACCACGUUCCUGCAGGGAUCGCCACGCUACGCCUCCGGCCGCCGUCCUUCCCCGCUGCCAGCACCUGUGGGGGGAGGCGAGGUGGCACCAAGCACGGCACCAGGUGCGAUGCCGCCAGCGCUGAUAGCUGUGCUGUGCCCACCUGUCCCCACGCGCUGCCUGCAGCGGAGCUCACACUCCUCCUGGCUGCCGAAGCGGUUGAGGUUGCCCUGGCAGCCACUGUAGACGAAGGGCCGGCACUCGGCGGCUCUUUGGUUGUAGUACCAGCGCAGCGUGUACCGCUGGCAGCCCCCCUCCUCCACGGGCUGGGUGCAGGGCUCGGCUGCAGGGACAAAGCGCAGUGGCGAGGGCAUGACAUAGACCAGCAUCUCUCAUCUAGGAGCACGGGGAACCCAGUGCCCGAGCAAACCACGUGCUGCUGGAGCGCCCACCCCAGGCACAGGCUUGGUGCAGUGGGUUCCCAGCAGAACAAUGGCAGCCCUUGCACCAUGGGGUCACCUGUGCCACGCCUGGUCCCCCGUGGGGCACAGGGAGCUCACCGUCCUCUGCGAGCUGCUCUGAGCUGUCUGCAUCCAGAGCUGUGUCGUAGUCCUCCUGCUCCCCGUACAUGCUCUCAUACUCCAGGUCGUUGGUGUCAACGACAACACGCCUGUCCUGCCCUGCAGACAACACUGGCUGUGAGUGCAGCACUGC